Long non-coding RNA from Thalassophryne amazonica, 657 nucleotides. RefSeq lists it as uncharacterized. Lineage: Eukaryota; Metazoa; Chordata; Actinopteri; Batrachoidiformes; Batrachoididae. The transcript has 2 exons. The record is from RefSeq and is a predicted model, not a curated record.
UCACUUUGCAUUGUGUGUGUGUGAAGGAAGUAGGGUGGGCUAGCCAGUCUACCCGAGUGUUAACAAGCGAAAGCACAUGUGUGUCCGCCGGUUCUACGGCAAUGCCGAAACGAAAAUGCACGUUCAUGGAAAAGUUGAAGAAAAAAUUCCUGUGCUUUCGCCAGGCUGCUCAAGAUGGUAGUUUUUUUUUUUUUGCCAUACCUGCCCACAAUGCAAAUGUGGAGCGCAUCUUUUCACUGAUGCAAGUGCAGUGGACGAAGGAGAGGAAUUGCAUGUCUGUGGAUUCACUGAAAGGGAUUUUGUGCACCCAGUACAAUUUCAGGAACAUGACCUGCAAAGAUUUUCAUACCUACUUAAUGGGUAAUCGUAAACUGUUGAAAGAGAUGCAGUCUUCUGACAAAUACACCCCGCAAGAGGAGGACUGAAGAGGAGCCAAUUUUUUUUUUUCAAAUGCUGCACCGAUGGCCCUAUUUCUUUUUUCUUUUUUUUUUUUUUACUUAGUCUACCACUAUUACACUCAAAAAUGUCAGUGUACAUAUGUUUUUGUUAGUGUACAUAUGUUGUUUUGUGUUAUUCGGGCCAAUAAAUGCAAUUGUUAUACAGACACCAUGUCAUUUGUGUCAUAACAUACACCAAACACCGAUGAAUCCCCCCCCC